RNAcentral lists this ribosomal RNA (482 nucleotides) under uncultured bacterium. RNAcentral's name for it is "partial 16S ribosomal RNA". It matches the Rfam family "Bacterial small subunit ribosomal RNA", at positions 30 to 507 of the family's 1533-position model. The record is from RNAcentral.
ACUGAACGCUGGCGGCAUGCCUUACACAUGCAAGUCGAACGGUAACGGGCCUUCGGGUGCCGACGAGUGGCGAACGGGUGAGUAAUACAUCGGAACGUGCCCGAUCGUGGGGGAUAACGAGGCGAAAGCUUUGCUAAUACCGCAUACGAUCUACGGAUGAAAGCAGGGGACCGCAAGGCCUUGCGCGGACGGAGCGGCCGAUGGCAGAUUAGGUAGUUGGUGGGAUAAAAGCUUACCAAGCCGACGAUCUGUAGCUGGUCUGAGAGGAUGAUCAGCCACACUGGGACUGAGACACGGCCCAGACUCCUACGGGAGGCAGCAGUGGGGAAUUUUGGACAAUGGGCGCAAGCCUGAUCCAGCCAUGCCGCGUGCAGGAUGAAGGCCUUCGGGUUGUAAACUGCUUUUGUACGGAACGAAAAGCCUUCUUUUAAUACAGGAGGGUCAUGACGGUACCGUAAGAAUAAGCACCGGCUAACUACGUG